UAGAGGAAUUAGCAUUUCUCACGCCGCCAUUUUUGGGGUACUGCCUUUUCCAAAUCGGAGAUUGUACGCAGUGAAUAAGGGAUUUGUAGAACUAUAAUUAUAAUCAUUUAAUAAUUAAUUUACAGUUAAAUAUUUGAAAAAAUGUUUUCACAUCGCUUAGAUUUCUCACGUCGUUUUCAAAAAAGUACCCCAAAAAUGGCGAAUUUGGCCUUCGUGUGAAGGUCCAGAC
Non-coding RNA from Paramuricea clavata, 229 nucleotides. The record is from the annotation of a GenBank genome assembly. NCBI's taxonomy places the organism in Eukaryota, Metazoa, Cnidaria, Anthozoa, Malacalcyonacea, Plexauridae.